AUUGAACGCUGGCGGCAGGCUUAACACAUGCAAGUCGAACGAGUGGCGGACGGGUGAGUAAUGUCUGGGAAACUGCCCGAUGGAGGGGGAUAACCACUGGAAACGGUAGCUAAUAACGCAUACCAUCGUAAUUGCCCAGAUGGGAUUAGCUAGUAGGCGGGGUAAUGGCUCACCUAGGCGACGAUCCCUAGCUGGUCUGAGAGGAUGACCAGCCAAACUGGAACUGAGACACGGUCCAGACUCCUACGGGAGGCAGCAGUGGGGAAUAUUGCACAAUGGGCGCAAGCCUUAUGCAGCCAUGCCGCGUGUAUGAAGAAGGCCUUCGGGUUGUAAAGUACUUUCAGCGAGGAGGCGUUACUCGCAGAAGAAGCACCGGCUAACUCCGUGCCAGCAGCCGCGGUAAUUC
Molecule: ribosomal RNA, 406 nt
Filed under: uncultured bacterium
Lineage: Bacteria
Description: partial 16S ribosomal RNA
Rfam family: Bacterial small subunit ribosomal RNA
Source: RNAcentral